AUUGAACGCUGGCGGCAUGCCUUACACAUGCAAGUCGAACGGUAACAGGUCUUCGGAUGCUGACGAGUGGCGAACGGGUGAGUAAUACAUCGGAACGUGCCUAGUAGUGGGGGAUAACUACUCGAAAGAGUGGCUAAUACCGCAUGAGAUCUACGGAUGAAAGCAGGGGAUCGCAAGACCUUGUGCUACUAGAGCGGCCGAUGGCAGAUUAGGUAGUUGGUGGGAUAAAAGCUUACCAAGCCGACGAUCUGUAGCUGGUCUGAGAGGACGAUCAGCCAAACCGGGACUGAGACACGGCCCAGACUCCUACGGGAGGCAGCAGUGGGGAAUUUUGGACAAUGGGCGAAAGCCUGAUCCAGCAAUGCCGCGUGCAGGAUGAAGGCCUUCGGGUUGUAAACUGCUUUUGUACGGAACGAAAAGCCCUGGGUUAAUACCCUGGGGUCAUGACGGUACCGUAAGAAUAAGCACCGGCUAACUACGUGCCAGCCGCCGCAGUAA
RNAcentral lists this ribosomal RNA (498 nucleotides) under uncultured bacterium. RNAcentral describes it as "partial 16S ribosomal RNA". It matches the Rfam family "Bacterial small subunit ribosomal RNA", at positions 30 to 523 of the family's 1533-position model. The record is from RNAcentral.